AACACGCUGGCGGCGUGCCUAACACAUGCAAGUCGAACGAGAAAGUGGAGCAAUCCAUGAGUACAGUGGCGACCGGGUGAGUAACACGUGACCAACCUGCCCUCGAGUGGGGAAUAACUCCGGGAAACCGGAGCUAAUACCGCAUAACAUCGCAAGAUCAAAGCCGCAAGGCGCUUGAGGAGGGGGUCGCGGCUGAUUAGCUAGUUGGUAGGGUAAUGGCCUACCAAGGCGAAGAUCGGUAGCCGGCCUGAGAGGGCGCACGGCCACACUGGAACUGAAACACGGUCCAGACUCCUACGGGAGGCAGCAGUGGGGAAUUUUGCGCAAUGGGGGAAACCCUGACGCAGCAACGCCGCGUGGAGGAUGAAGUCCCUUGGGACGUAAACUCCUUUCGACCGGGACGAUACUGACGGUACCGGAAGAAGAAGCACCGGCUAACUCUGUGCCAGCAGCCGCGGUAAUACAGAGGGUGCGAGCGUUGUUCGGAAUUAUUGGGCGUAAAGGGCGCGUA
RNAcentral lists this ribosomal RNA (511 nucleotides) under uncultured bacterium. Its description in RNAcentral is "bacterial SSU rRNA". It matches the Rfam family "Bacterial small subunit ribosomal RNA", at positions 28 to 573 of the family's 1533-position model. The record is from RNAcentral.